GCCUUCUGGUGCACUUGGUGCUUGCUGCUGCACAUUUUAAUUGAUGUAGGCAUGAAGUGGCUCAUUUGGGGAGGAAGCAGUAAACUCAAAGCUCUGCAAACAGGCUGCAAAGAGAGGUUACAGCAGGAGCAUACCUGUUUAGUUGACAGAGUGGUGGAGUGGACGUUCAAGAAGGAAGGAUGCCUGUAUGCCUGCAGCUAAACAUAUCUUCAUGGAAUAUAAACAAACUGCUACGUCUCUAAAGAAACAGAACGAACAGAAGGGUAGAUUCUGGAAGAUAGGCUCAAUAGCUACCAGCCCCUGGAGGACGAAGGCCAACCCUGCAGGUGUUCAACUGAGCUCACUGGGUGUCUUGCCAGUGGAAUCUGAUGUGUGACAAGAGAGGUGACUCAGUCCCUGCUGAUUUUCCUUCUCUAACCAGAGCCAGAGCUCCUUGUGAAAUCCCCAGGAAGAAAAGCAGCUUUGCAAAACCAGGAUGCAAACCUGUGCUCCCCUGACUAUAUCACACACAAAACAUACAUUUAUACAUUUAUGGGCAGCAGUGUGGAGUAGUGGUUAGGGCUCUGGACUCUUGACCGGAGGGUUGUGGGUUCAAUCCCCAGUGGGGGACACUGCUGUUGUACCCUUGAGCAAGGUACUUUACCUAGAUUGCUCCAGUAAAAACCCAACUGUAUAAAUGGGUAAUUGUAUGUAAAAAUAAUGUAAUAGCUGUAUAAUGUGAAAUAAUGUAUAAUGUGAGAUCUUGUAACAAUUGUAAGUCGCCCUGGAUAAGGGCGUCUGCUAAGAAAUAAAUAAUAAUAAUAAUAAUAAAUCACUCACCUUGCACAGCAAUUCCCAUUCUUGAUGCUGCCAAAGGCUUUAUUGGAAUAAAAGUAACUUGCGGGUUAUUAAAAUAAGCCUGCUUUUAUGAAUUAUGUUUAAAUGAUUAAACUAUUGACGAAAAAAGCCAACAACAGAUUUGAACAGUCCCAUGAAUAUAUAGCAGCCCUGUAAUUCUAGUAUUCAAAAUACACACACAAGACAGAGGCACAAAUAAUGACAAUUUGCAGCAGCAAA
Molecule: long non-coding RNA, 1056 nt
Organism: Acipenser ruthenus (sterlet)
Lineage: Eukaryota; Metazoa; Chordata; Actinopteri; Acipenseriformes; Acipenseridae
Exons: 3
Source: RefSeq, a predicted model, not a curated record